Molecule: ribosomal RNA, 301 nt
Filed under: uncultured bacterium
Lineage: Bacteria
Description: partial 16S ribosomal RNA
Rfam family: Bacterial small subunit ribosomal RNA
Source: RNAcentral
CAGCCGCCAGGUAAUACGGAGGGGGCUAGCGUUGUUCGGAAUUACUGGGCGUAAAGCGCACGUAGGCGGCUUGGUAAGUUAGAGGUGAAAGCCUGGAGCUCAACUCCAGAAUUGCCUUUAAGACUGCCGAGCUAGCAGGUGAGAGAGGUAAGUGGAAUUCCGAGUGUAGAGGUGAAAUUCGUAGAUAUUCGGAAGAACACCAGUGGCGAAGGCGGCUUACUGGCUCAUACUGGACGCUGAGGUGCGAAAGCGUGGGGAGCAAACAGGAUUAGAUACCCGUGUAGUCCCUGUCUCUUAUACA